UGAAUACGAGAUGCUACGGCGUCGAAGCAGUCUAUGUCAUACUUCCAAGAAAAGCUCGCACUGUCAUAAACAAAUAAUGCCUGUACCAUAACCGACACAGGUGGGUAGGUAGAGUAUACUAAGGGGCGCGAGAUAAUUCUCUCUAAGGAACUCGGCAAAAUGACUCCGUAACUUCGGGAGAAGGAGUGCCUUAUUUAUAAGGUUGCAAUAACAAGAUCCAAGCAACUGUUUAUCAAAAACACAGGUCUCCGCUAAGUCGUAAGACGAUGUAGGGGGGCUGACGCCUGCCCAGUGCCAGAAGGUUAAAGAAGUUGGUUAGCAUUCGCGAAGCUGAUAACUGAAGCCCUGGUGAACGGCGGCCGUAACGAUAACGGUCCUAAGGUAGCGAAAUUCCUUGUCGGGUAAGUUCCGACCCGCACGAAAGGCGUAAUGAUUUGGAUACUGUCUCGGAGAGGGGCUCGGUGAAAUAGACUUGUCUGUGAAGAUGCGGACUACCUGCACCAGGACAGAAAGACCCUAUGAAGCUUUACUGUAACUUGAGAUUGAAAUUGGACUUUACUUGCGCAGUAUAGGUGGGAGGCGUUGAUAAUAUUCUUGCGGGAUUAUUUGAGCCAUCAGUGAGAUACCACUCUUGUAAUGUUAGAUUUCUAACUUUGUAUCAUUAUCUGGUCAGAGGACAGUUUCAGGCGGGCAGUUUGACUGGGGCGGUCGCCUCCUAAACGGUAACGGAGGCGCACAAAGGUUUCCUCUGAACGGGUAGAAAUCGUAUCUAGAGUGUAAAGGCAUAAGGAAGCUCGACUGUGAGACCUACAAGUCGAGCAGGGACGAAAGUCGGUCUUAGUGAUCUGACGGUGCUGAGUGGAAAGGCCGUCACUCAACGGAUAAAAGUUACUCUAGGAUAACAGGCUGAUCUCCCCCAAGAGUUCACAUCGACGGGGAGGUUUGGCACCUCGAUGUCGGCUCAUCGCAUCCUGGGGCGGUAGUACGUCCCAAGGGUUGGGCUGUUCGCCCAUGAAAGCGGUACGCGAGCUGGGUUCAGAACGUCGUGAGACAGUUCGGUCCAUAUCCGGUGUAGGCGUUAGAAUAUUGAGAGGAGCCUUCUUUAGUACGAGAGGACCGAGAAGGACAUACCUCUGGUGUACCAGUUAUCGUGCCAACGGUAAACGCUGGGUAGCUAUGUAUGGAGUGGAUAACCGCUGAAAGCAUCUAAGUGGGAAGCCCACCUCAAGAUAAGUAUUCUCUUCAC
RNAcentral lists this ribosomal RNA (1246 nucleotides) under metagenome. RNAcentral's name for it is "bacterial LSU rRNA". It matches the Rfam family "Bacterial large subunit ribosomal RNA", at positions 1564 to 2820 of the family's 2925-position model. The record is from RNAcentral.